Molecule: ribosomal RNA, 354 nt
Filed under: Streptomyces sp. SID5475
Lineage: Bacteria; Bacillati; Actinomycetota; Actinomycetes; Kitasatosporales; Streptomycetaceae
Description: partial 23S ribosomal RNA
Rfam family: Bacterial large subunit ribosomal RNA
Source: RNAcentral
AGGGUGAGACCUGAUGCCGAGCCGAUUGUGGUGAAGUGGAUGAUCCUAUGCUGUCGAGAAAAGCCUCUAGCGAGUUUCAUGGCGGCCCGUACCCUAAACCGACUCAGGUGGUCAGGUAGAGAAUACCGAGGCGUUCGGGUGAACUAUGGUUAAGGAACUCGGCAAAAUGCCCCCGUAACUUCGGGAGAAGGGGGGCCAUUGCUGGUGAUCACCCUUGCGGUGUGAGCUGGUGGUGGCCGCAGAGACCAGCGAGAAGCGACUGUUUACUAAAAACACAGGUCCGUGCGAAGCCGUAAGGCGAUGUAUACGGACUGACGCCUGCCCGGUGCUGGAACGUUAAGGGGACCGGUUAGU